Non-coding RNA from Hordeum vulgare subsp. vulgare (domesticated barley), 136 nucleotides. NCBI's taxonomy places the organism in Eukaryota, Viridiplantae, Streptophyta, Magnoliopsida, Poales, Poaceae. The record is from Rfam.
UUUAUACUCCCUCUGUCCCAAAAUUCUUGUCUUAAGUUUGGCUAGAAAUGGAUGUAUCAAAAUACUAAAACAUGACUAGAUACAUUCAUAUAUAGAAAAAUCUAAGAUAAGAAUUUUGGAAGGGAGAGAGUAUUUU